GGCAGGAAGCAAAACGCGGGGAGUCGACCAAGCCGAGAGAAAGGUGACACCAGAGGGAGAGAGAGCUCAUUCACCUGAACCACAGCUGGCAAAGACACAACUCUCUGCAAAGAGCAGGGCGUGACUUCUUUACAGGCUAGACAAAGAGCAAAUAAUGGCCUGCACUACUUUCAUGAAGGACACAGCAGGUUGGAGAGGUACCUUGAACCUCCUCCUGUUAGGACUCCUUCUACUCUCAGUAAUAGUGUCAGGUCAAGGCAACACAACCACUAUCGGGCCAACAACCGACAACACUACAAUUCCGUCC
Molecule: long non-coding RNA, 307 nt
Organism: Pungitius pungitius (ninespine stickleback)
Lineage: Eukaryota; Metazoa; Chordata; Actinopteri; Perciformes; Gasterosteidae
Exons: 3
Source: RefSeq, a predicted model, not a curated record